Non-coding RNA from Arachis ipaensis, 251 nucleotides. NCBI's taxonomy places the organism in Eukaryota, Viridiplantae, Streptophyta, Magnoliopsida, Fabales, Fabaceae. The record is from RefSeq and is a predicted model, not a curated record.
UGAACAUAUGUAUUUUUUGUUUUUGUUUUUAUUUAUAGCUUGUGAAACAAGUUUUCGAGAUGGAUCAUAUGAGAAGAGCAAUGUUGGAGAAAGCUUUUAAUCUCUUAGAUACUCAUAGUACUGGAUAUCUUAACAAAGAUCAAUGCAUUAAGCUCUUUGAGGAGUUGAACAAAUACAGGACUUUACCAAAGAUCACCAAGGAAGAAUUUGAGUUAAUAUUUGAUGAGCUCGAUGAUAGUCGUGAUGUAAAG